This is an RNA transcript of Cucumis melo (muskmelon), 2865 nucleotides long. It is a transcript of the gene named OPA3-like protein, with no coding region annotated. NCBI's taxonomy places the organism in Eukaryota, Viridiplantae, Streptophyta, Magnoliopsida, Cucurbitales, Cucurbitaceae. The transcript is spliced from 6 exons. The record is from RefSeq and is a predicted model, not a curated record.
AAACACAUAUUACCAUAAAACUACUAAUAAUAAUUUUUCUCCCAAACACAUUAUUAUCGUGAUCCUUUUCUUUCUUACUUCUUUUCCUCUCCCAAACACAACCGUAAUAAAUCUAAAUUUUGGGCUUUUAAUAUUGGAUUAGAAGACGGAGUUUGGGUUCAUACUUCAUAGGCCCAUCGUCUUUUUAACACGUAAUUUGCUAAAAUCAAAUUCCAGAUUGUAAUGGCGGAACGAAUCUCCUUCUCGAUUGUUCGCUCUCGAUUCCAAAUCUCUGUUUCUUCUUUUCUAAUUCUCUUUCUUCUUCCUCACGCAUUAUGAUUGCAGAAUCAGAUACCCGGUCAACAGUGAUUCAGUGCAGCAGUCAACUUUUCUAUUUCUUCCCCACCUCUUCAUUUCCCAUCACUUCUAUGUUCUGAAGCUCGAUUGGAGUUUGUCUAGAAAUGAUCCUCCCUGUUGUCAAGUUGGGGGCUCUAGCUCUUAAAACCAUCUGCAAACCCAUCGCCAAUCGCCUCAAGAAGGAAGCUGGAUUGCAUCCCAAGUUUAGGCAGUGUAUUAUCAAUAUCGCACAGGCAAAUCAUCGGUUUUCGACAAAUGUACAACGAAGAAUAUAUGGUUAUGCAACAAAUGUUGCCAUUCCUCCUCUGAAUGAAGAGAAAGCUGUCCAAGCUGCUGCAGAUCUUCUCGGGGAGCUCUUUGUGUUCACGGUUGCUGGAGCUGCUGUAAUUUUUGAGGUGCAAAGAAGUUCAAGGUCGGAAGCAAGAAAGGAGGAGCUCCGCAGGCAAGAAUUGGAGGCGAUGAAGCAAAGGGAUGACGGUAUAGCCCGAGAAAUAGAAAUUCUUAAACAGAAGAUCGAAAAUCUGGAAGAGUUGUCCAAGGGACGAGGUCUAACUGGCUUAUUUCACUUCAGGCAUCCGCAUACUGCUGAAGGUGAAAACGUGAAACACUCCUGAUCAUCAUCAAGACAAAAUAAAGACCCUGCCCCACAAUGUGUAACAAAGCAUCCAAUUGAUGGAUGCUCCAAAAUGUGCUGUUGUUGAACCCAUCCUCCAUACACCACCCCUCUCCCCUCAACUCUUUCUUCAAAUCCGUCAGGCAAGGCAGCGGUCACUGUGUCAACCCCAACCGGGGGUUUGAAUACGGCGAAGAAUGGUUGAUUUGUAAGCUCAAAUCCCAAUACCAAUUCUUGGAGUUGGUCUUUUGUUAAGGUCCUGAAAGCAGAAUAGGCUUUUUGAAUUCACUUAUGAGAUGGUCUACAAAAGGACCUUCAAUCUCCCUACAUGCCUUGAAUGCUAUAGCAUCAGACUCGCAAAGACCAGUGAAAUGGCGAUGAAAAAAGCGGACAUCACUGCCAAAUAUCAUAUUGGACAUAAAUGUAACAUUUUUGGCCUCGUGAGAAUGAAGCUUGAUUGCGGAAGUUGCCAAGCCGAGAGGUGGCUUUAUAAAUUCAUCCACAGUGAAAUCAGGUCCACAGAGUUGCCUUGUUGGGGUGAAGACAUAACUGAAUGUUGUUGCACUAAUUACACUGUAAUAGAUAGAUUUGAUGCCCAAUUGAGAUGCCAAUUUAGGGAUCCAGAAAGUGAAAUCAAAGAAGAUGACAUGGGGUUUUAUGUGUUGUAGUAGGGAUUUGAUUUGUGGUUGGGUGAGAUCCAUCGCAGUCAUGAUGAGAUUGAACUGGUGAAGAUUAGAAACAUCAGCAGUAGUUUCAGCACCUUCAGGGAGACCAUCAACAUGAGGAACAAUGAUGGGGACAAAGGUAAUGAGAUUUGGAAAGUGAUUGAAAGGCUGCAAUUUGGCCCGAAUUUUUGAUGGGAUUAAGAAGGAGAUUUUGUGACCUUUUUUGGCUAACUUGUUGGCAAUUUGGAGAUAUGGAGAUAAGUGGCCAAAAGCAAACCAAGGGAACAUUGCUAUGUGCAAGCUGGAAGUGGCAGCCAUUGUUGACAUCCCUCUUUCUUCUGUCCUAGCUUCCAAGAGAUGAAUACAAAACAGAAUAACGUGACAAUUUUUUAAUGAUAAUCAAAUGGGGGUUUUAGUAACAGAGUUAUGAUCUAGACCCUAAGCAAACACAUGACAAGUUAAAGGAAAACAAAUGGUUUUGUUGAAUAGAAAGGGAAACUUAGGGAUGAGCUUUAUGGAUGAAUUGAUUAUUCCAAAAUGUUUAUGAUGUUUACAAAAGCACAACAAAGGAAGAAAAUGUUCGCGUGGUAUCAAAUGCAAACUAAUAAUAUUUGGAAUAGUCUCUAUGAACUUUUGUAAUAUUACCUUUUCUCAAAAGAAAGGAAAGAAAAUGAUUGAACAAAGAAAUAUAGCUAACAUGCAUACCUGGAGCCUGGAAGUUAUAAGUGAGAAGUUGCAGCAGAUAGUGAGAUGAAGAAUUAAAAUCCUAAGACAAUGCGUUCUGUAUAAGAACUCUCAUGGUGAUGGCUUUAGAACAAAGACAAGGAGCUAUGGUAAUGAGUAAUCCUUAAGCUAGCAAAAAGAGAGAUUGUUUUUUGCUUUGGAUUUCUUUUUUCCAUUCGUACCACAAAUGGAAAUUGAUGGCCAAGUGGAGGAAGAGUGAUAGCAGAUGUCACAAGAGCAGGAACUUGGUCAUUUGACGUUGGAAGCCGUGUAGAAAAGUAAUAGAAAAGUUCAAAUCCAAUAGGUUAGCUUUAUAUAGUUUUCGUUAAAGUAUUAAUCCUUGCAUGUUAUCUUUUUUUCUUUACAGGGGAGGUCGGAUCAAUGAUUGUUGACCAAAGCUCACCUUGAUCUCCCACCUACAAAAUAUCUUCAUGUCCUACAAAAGAUACUGUUUUGGUUAUUAUAAUGUUAUGAAUAUUGAGAUAAAACAAAAUAAUUUCUAAAAUGCACAAGUAAUACUCGUUCCCA